This 419-nucleotide ribosomal RNA is filed under the name uncultured Prevotella sp. RNAcentral's name for it is "bacterial SSU rRNA". It matches the Rfam family "Bacterial small subunit ribosomal RNA", at positions 358 to 774 of the family's 1533-position model. The record is from RNAcentral. Lineage: Bacteria; Pseudomonadati; Bacteroidota; Bacteroidia; Bacteroidales; Prevotellaceae.
GGAAUAUUGGUCAAUGGACGAGAGUCUGAACCAGCCAAGUAGCGUGCAGGAUGACGGCCCUAUGGGUUGUAAACUGCUUUUAUACAGGGAUAAAGUAGGGAACGUGUUCCCUUUUGCAGGUACUGUAUGAAUAAGGACCGGCUAAUUCCGUGCCAGCAGCCGCGGUAAUACGGAAGGUCCGGGCGUUAUCCGGAUUUAUUGGGUUUAAAGGGAGCGCAGGCCGGAGGUCAAGCGUGACGUGAAAUGUAGCCGCUCAACGGCUGAGUUGCGUCGCGAACUGGUUUCCUUGAGUGAGUACGACGUCAGCGGAAUUCGUGGUGUAGCGGUGAAAUGCUUAGAUAUCACGAAGAACCCCGAUUGCGAAGGCAGCUGACGAGUCCUUUACUGACGCUAAAGCUCGAAGGUGCGGGUAUCGAACA